Molecule: non-coding RNA, 414 nt
Organism: Xyrichtys novacula (pearly razorfish)
Lineage: Eukaryota; Metazoa; Chordata; Actinopteri; Labriformes; Labridae
Source: the annotation of a GenBank genome assembly
AUGAGCACCUGUUUUUCACACUUUCAAGAUUUUAAACUCAAGCCUACAAGGUCACAGCUUUUUGGUAUUUAUCCAGAUCACAAGCAAGAUGAUUGUUCGACCGUAAAGGACCUGUGAUGCAAACAUGGACACCUCGUGGGACACAAUGUGGAGCAGCCCAGGUAUAAAUUUUUACCUUAUUAAAAUUAGAUCUUAGAUUAACUAAAAUGCUUCUUCAGUGGUUCCCAAACUUUUCUGGCUCGUUCAGCUUGGCAGAUGAAAAAAAUUCUGUUGUCCAACCAGAGGCUGUGUCUGAAAUCAGCUGAUCUGAAAAGUCCAGUCAGAAGCCAGACUUCCCAGCAAAGGUAAAGAAGGUUUCUAUUCUUGACCGAGCCAAAAUGAUUCAGUUUAGUCCCCUACUCCACCCAAUCACAU